UCUCAAGAAGGAAAUUACGCCAUACACCAGUGUUGCCACACACCCAGAGAACAAGAUGACCCGACGUCCCAGCCUGGUCGUGCCACAUGAGCUGAGCAGUGGGUGGGCCACUGAGCCAGUGAUAGAAAUCACAAAUUACAAAACAUCAGAGUACUUUCUGGAAAUAAGUCUUCCUCUCCAGGGAACAACACAUUUGACACUUGACUGGGAGACACUACCGGAUCCUCCAAGGGUAAUGGUUCUCAAGAAGGCAGAAGCGAUGGUGACCAACAGACCUCCUUAAAGGCUCAGAUGCUGGAGACCUUCCUACUCCUCUCGACCAUGCUAGGAUGACUACAGCAGAGUCCCUGAGUCCUUUGAUGCAAGGGUCUAGCAACCACCAAACAGACAAGCCCUUCAGCCUGUCCUGGAGGGCGUUGAAUGGCAUGGCCUGGAGCUCACCCAGGGGAACCGUGCUCAGGAGGAGGAGACCAGAAAUUCUGAGAAGUUCCUAAGACCACCUGAAGAGAAGGAGCCUGCUGCCAAUGGUGUGGACACCACAGUGUGCUUGAGGAGCCUUCAGAAACGAGAACGGAUGUAGGUAAGAUCCGGACUCAUUUGACUUUGAGUUUAUCAAGAAGGAAGAUUAACAGACACAGGGGCUACUUGAGAGUGGAUGGUGGAAGGAGGAAGAGGAUCAGAAAAAAAUAACUCCUGGGUACUAAGUUUAGUACCUGGGUGACGAAAUAAUCUGUACAACAAACCCCCGUGACACAAGUUUACCCAUGUAACAAACCUGCACAUGUACGCCUGAACAUAAAAUAAAAGUUAAAAAAGGAGUGGGGUGUGGUGGCUCACGCCUGUAAUCCCAGCACUUUGGGAGGCCAAGGUGGGCAGAUCACGAGGUCAGGGGAUCGAGACCAUCCUGGCUAACACGGUGAAACCCCGUCUCUACUAAAAAUACAAAAAAUUAGCUGGGUGUGGUGGCGGGUGCUUGUAGUCCCAGCUACUUGGGAGGCUGAGGCAGGAGAAUGGCGUGAACCUGGGAGGCGGAGCUUGCAGUGAGCCGAGAUUGGGCCACUACAGUCUGGCCUGGGUGACAGAGUGAGACUCCGUCUCAAAAAAAAAAAAAAAGUUAA
Molecule: long non-coding RNA, 1118 nt
Organism: Rhinopithecus roxellana (golden snub-nosed monkey)
Lineage: Eukaryota; Metazoa; Chordata; Mammalia; Primates; Cercopithecidae
Exons: 3
Source: RefSeq, a predicted model, not a curated record